UUCAGACAAGGAUUCUGGGAACAGGGCCAUGCAAAAUGUGCCCAUCACCCUGACGGGGGCAACAGCAAGCUCACCGGAGUCCUCUGUCCUGGGCCGAAGGUGGAUCGGCCCUGUGCUUCCGCUUUCGCCACUCGACAUCACACGUCUUCUAGACGAAGAUCCUUCCUCUCCCGGGGAUCAAACUGAUGGAAUCAUUUGGCUAUCAAUUAAAAAAAUCAAUCCUAGAAUAUGUAUGAUGGACAGGAAAGAAAAAUGAAUAAUCCUUGUCUACCGGAUGAAAAAAACACCAAGC
Hypanus sabinus (Atlantic stingray) is the source of this 292-nucleotide long non-coding RNA. RefSeq lists it as uncharacterized. The record is from RefSeq and is a predicted model, not a curated record. NCBI's taxonomy places the organism in Eukaryota, Metazoa, Chordata, Chondrichthyes, Myliobatiformes, Dasyatidae. The transcript has 3 exons.